This 497-nucleotide ribosomal RNA is filed under the name uncultured bacterium. RNAcentral's name for it is "SSU rRNA". It matches the Rfam family "Bacterial small subunit ribosomal RNA", at positions 26 to 521 of the family's 1533-position model. The record is from RNAcentral.
AGAUUGAACGCUGGCGGCGUGCUUAACACAUGCAAGUCGAGCGGUAACGCGGGAGCAAUCCUGGCGACGAGCGGCGAACGGGUGAGUAAUGCUUGGGAAUCUGCCCAUUAGUGGGGAACAACCAGCCGAAAGGUUGGCUAAUACCGCAUACGCCCUACGGGGGAAAGCGGGGGAUCGAAAGACCUCGCGCUAAUGGAUGAGCCCAAGUCGGAUUAGCUUGUUGGUAGGGUAACGGCCUACCAAGGCGACAAUCCGUAGCUGGUCUGAGAGGACGACCAGCCACACUGGGACUGAGACACGGCCCAGACUCCUACGGGAGGCAGCAGUGGGGAAUAUUGGACAAUGGGGGCAACCCUGAUCCAGCGACGCCGCGUGUGUGAAGAAGGCCUGCGGGUUGUAAAGCACUUUUAGUGGGAUGAAAAGCUCAGGGUUAACACCUCUGGGUCUUGACCUAACCACAGAAAAGCACCGGCUAACUCUGCGCCAGCAGCCGCGGU